Molecule: ribosomal RNA, 472 nt
Filed under: uncultured bacterium
Lineage: Bacteria
Description: bacterial SSU rRNA
Rfam family: Bacterial small subunit ribosomal RNA
Source: RNAcentral
CUACGGGAGGCAGCAGUGGGGGAAUUUUGGACAAUGGGGGGCAACCCUGAUCCAGCCAUUCCGCGUGAGUGAAGAAGGCCUCGGUUGUAAAGCUCUUUCGGUCAGGAACGAAACGGUGGGUCCGUAAUACGAUCUGCUAAUGACGGUACCUGAAGAAGAAGCACCGGCUAACUACGUGCCAGCAGCCGCGGUAAUACGUAGGGUGCGAGCGUUAAUCGGAAUUACUGGGCGUAAAGCGUGCGCAGGCGGUUAUGUAAGACAGAUGUGAAAUCCCCGGGCUUAACCUGGGAACUGCGUUUGUGACUGCAUAACUCGAGUGUGGCAGGAGGGGGGUGGAAUUCCACGUGUAGCAGUGAAAUGCGUAGAGAUGUGGAGGAACACCGAUGGCGAAGGCAGCCCCUGGGUCAACACUGACGCUCAUGCACGAAAGCGUGGGGAGCAAAACGAGGAUUAGAUACCCUGGUAGUCCACG